UACGGAGGAUCCGAGCGUUAUCCGGAUUUAUUGGGUUUAAAGGGUGCGCAGGCGGGGGAUUAAGUCGGCGGUGAAAUUUUGCAGCUCAACUGUAAAAGUGCCUUCGAAACUGGUUUCCUUGAGUGUAGCUGAAGUAGGCGGAAUUUGUGGUGUAGCGGUGAAAUGCAUAGAUAUCACGAGGAACUCCGAUUGCGCAGGCAGCUUACUGGGAUGCAACUGACGCUGAGGCACGAAAGCGUGGGUAUCAAACAGGAUUAGAUACCCU
This 265-nucleotide ribosomal RNA is filed under the name uncultured prokaryote. RNAcentral's name for it is "partial 16S ribosomal RNA". It matches the Rfam family "Bacterial small subunit ribosomal RNA", at positions 524 to 788 of the family's 1533-position model. The record is from RNAcentral.